RNAcentral lists this ribosomal RNA (283 nucleotides) under Ligilactobacillus salivarius. Its description in RNAcentral is "partial 23S ribosomal RNA". It matches the Rfam family "Bacterial large subunit ribosomal RNA", at positions 1 to 276 of the family's 2925-position model. The record is from RNAcentral. Lineage: Bacteria; Bacillati; Bacillota; Bacilli; Lactobacillales; Lactobacillaceae.
AUAUUAGGUUAAGUUAUUAAGGGCGUAUGGUGGAUGCCUUGGCACUAGGAGCCGAUGAAGGACGUGACUAACUGCGAUAUGCUUCGGGGAGUUGUAAGUAAACUAUGAUCCGGAGAUUUCCGAAUGGGGAAACCUAACAGGUUUUACCGCCUGUUAUCACUAAGUGAAUUCAUAGCUUAGUUGAAGGUAGACGUGGGGAACUGAAACAUCUAAGUACCCACAGGAAGAGAAAGAAAUUCGAUUCCCUCAGUAGCGGCGAGCGAACCGGGAAGAGCCCAAACUA